CUUGUUCUCCAUCGCCCUCUGUGGAAACGACUCGUCGAUCGGAGCGAACACGAACUCGGCAUAUUUCCGGAUAUUCGACCGGUACUUCAGCUUGUCUCCGGCAGGCAUUAUGUGGUCGGUCGUGACCUUGUCCCCGACCUUGAUGGUGACGACACCUUCGAUCUCCGGGCCGAGCGGUUCGUUCUCAGGCGGGUCUCCUAUGUUUGGACCCCUUUCUAUCUCGACCCCUGCUCUUUUUUCCGACGGAGGAAUUAUCAUCGAGUCGUCUAUUGCAUAGAGAGAGGGAGGCUCCACGUCGGGGUAUUCGAUCCCGAGGGUCCGCGGGU
RNAcentral lists this ribosomal RNA (326 nucleotides) under uncultured eukaryote. RNAcentral's name for it is "partial small subunit ribosomal RNA". The record is from RNAcentral.